This 460-nucleotide ribosomal RNA is filed under the name uncultured bacterium. RNAcentral describes it as "partial 16S ribosomal RNA". It matches the Rfam family "Bacterial small subunit ribosomal RNA", at positions 338 to 795 of the family's 1533-position model. The record is from RNAcentral.
CCUACGGGUGGCAGCAGUGAGGAAUAUUGGUCAAUGGACGAGAGUCUGAACCAGCCAAGUAGCGUGAAGGAUGACUGCCCUCUGGGUUGUAAACUUCUUUUAUAUGGGAAUAAAAUGUUCCACGUGUGGGUUUUUGUAUUUACCAUAUGAAUAAGGACCGGCUAAUUCCGUUCCAGCAGCCGCGGUACUACGGAGGAUCCGAGCGUUAUCCGGAUUUAUUGGGUUUAAAGGGAGCGUAGGUGGAUUGUUAAGUCAGUUGUGAAAUUUUGCGGCUCAACCGUAAAAUUGCAGGUGAAACUGGCAGGCUUGAGUACAGUAGAGGUGGGCGGAAUUCGUGGUGUAGCGGUGAAAUGCUUAGAUAUCACGAAGAACUCCGAUUGCGAAGGCAGCACACUGGACUGCAACUGACACUGAGGCGCGAAAGUGUGGGUAUCAAACAGGAUUAGAUACCCUUGUAGUC